CAUGCAAGUCGAACGGAAAUCUUUUAGAUUUUAGUGGCGAACGGGUGAGUAACACGUAAGCAACCUGCCUUUAAGACGAGAAUAACAAUUGGAAACAGUUGCUAAGGCUGGAUAGGAAAUAAAAAGGAAUCUUUUUAUUUUUAAAAGACCUUUUUCGGAAGGUAUGCUUAAAGAGGGGCUUGCGUCACAUUAGUUAGUUGGUAGGGUAAAGGCCUACCAAGACGAUGAUGUGUAGCUGGACUGAGAGGUUGAACAGCCACAUUGGGACUGAGACACGGCCCAAACUCCUACGGGAGGCAGCAGUAGGGAAUUUUCGGCAAUGGAGGAAACUCUGACCGAGCAACGCCGCGUGAACGACGAAGUACUUCGGUAUGUAAAGUUCUUUUAUUGAAGAAGAAACAAUAGUGGAAAAACUAUCUUGACGUUAUUCAAUGAAUAAGCCCCGGCUAACUAUGUGCCAGCAGCCGCGGUAAUACAUAGGGGGCGAGCGUUAUCCGGAAUUAUUGGGCGUAAAGGGUGCGUAGGCGGUUUAAUAAGUCUCUAGUUUAAUUUCAACGCUUAACGUUGUCCUGCUAGAGAAACUGUUUAACUAGAGUGAGAUAGAGGUAAGCGGAAUUCCAUGUGUAGCGGUAAAAUGUGUAAAUAUAUGGAGGAACACCAGAGGCGUAGGCGGCUUACUGGGUCUUUACUGACGCUGAUGCACGAAAGCGUGGGGAGCAAACAGGAUUAGAUACCCUGGUAGUCCACGCCGUAAACUAUGAGUACUAAGUGUCGGGGUUAAACUCGGUACUGAAGUUAACACAUUAAGUACUCCGCCUGAGUAGUACGUACGCAAGUAUGAAACUUAAAGGAAUUGACGGGAUCCCGCACAAGCGGUGGAUCAUGUUGUUUAAUUCGAAGAUACACGAAAAACCUUACCAGGUCUUGACAUACUCUGCAAAGCUAUAGAAAUAUAGUGGAGGUUAUCAGGGAUACAGGUGGUGCAUGGUUGUCGUCAGCUCGUGUCGUGAGAUGUUAGGUUAAGUUCUAAAACGAGCGCAACCCCUGUCGUUAAUUGCCAGCACGUUAUGGUGGGGACUUUAGCGAGACUGCCAAUGAAAAAUUGGAGGAAGGUGGGGAUUACGUCAAAUCAUCAUGCCCCUUAUGAUCUGGGCUACAAACGUGAUACAAUGGCUAUUACAAAGAGUAGCUGAAACGCGAGUUUUCGGCAAAUCUCAAAAAAAUAGUCUCAGUUCGGAUUGAAGUCUGCAACUCGACUUCAUGAAGUUGGAAUCGCUAGUAAUCGCGAAUCAGCAUGUCGCGGUGAAUACGUUCUCGGGGUUUGUACACACCGCCCGUCAAACCACGAAAGUGGACAAUACCCGAAAGCGACAGCCUAAC
Molecule: ribosomal RNA, 1380 nt
Filed under: Coconut lethal yellowing phytoplasma
Lineage: Bacteria; Bacillati; Mycoplasmatota; Mollicutes; Acholeplasmatales; Acholeplasmataceae
Description: 16S ribosomal RNA
Rfam family: Bacterial small subunit ribosomal RNA
Source: RNAcentral